This 498-nucleotide ribosomal RNA is filed under the name uncultured Sphingobacteriales bacterium. Its description in RNAcentral is "bacterial SSU rRNA". It matches the Rfam family "Bacterial small subunit ribosomal RNA", at positions 903 to 1382 of the family's 1533-position model. Lineage: Bacteria; Pseudomonadati; Bacteroidota; Sphingobacteriia; Sphingobacteriales. The record is from RNAcentral.
UUGCCAGCCCGCUCAGAACCUUAAAGGAAUUGACGGGGCCCGCACAAGCGGUGGAGCACGUGGUUUAAUUCGAUGAUACGCGAGGAACCUUACCUGGGCUCAAAUGUAUGUUGACGUAUUCUGAAAGGGAUACUUCUUCGGACAAUAUACAAGGUGCUGCAUGGUUGUCGUCAGCUCGUGCCGUGAGGUGUCGGGUUAAGUCCCAUAACGAGCGCAACCCCUAUCAUUAGUUGCCAUCAGGUCAAGCUGGGGACUCUAAUGAAACUGCCUACGCAAGUAGUGAGGAAGGCGGGGAUGACGUCAAAUCAGCACGGCCCUUACGUCCAGGGCUACACACGUGCUACAAUGGCCGAUACAGAGGGCAGCUACCUGGUGACAGGAUGCAAAUCUCCAAAGUCGGUCUCAGUUCGGAUCGGAGUCUGCAACCCGACUCCGUGAAGUUGGAUUCGCUAGUAAUCGCGCAUCAGCCAUGUCACGGUGAAUACGUUCCCGGGCCUU